GAAACGGCUGCUAAUACCGCAUACGCCCUACGGGGGAAAGCAGGGGAUCUUCGGACCUUGCGCUAUUGGAUGACCCUGAGUCGGAUUAGCUAGUUGGUGAGGUAAAGGCUCACCAAGGCCACGAUCCGUAGCUGGUUUGAGAGGAUGAUCAGCCACAUCGGGACUGAGACACGGCCCGAACUCCUACGGGAGGCAGCAGUGGGGAAUAUUGGACAAUGGGGGCAACCCUGAUCCAGCCAUGCCGCGUGUGUGAAGAAGGCUUUCGGGUUGUAAAGCACUUUCAGCGAGGAGGAAGGCUCUAAAGCUAAUACCUUUAGGGAUUGACGUUACUCGCAGAAGAAGCACCGGCUAACUCCGUGCCAGCAGCCGCGGUAAUACGGAGGGUGCAAGCGUUAAUCGGAAUUACUGGGCGUAAAGCGCGCGUAGGUGGUUGAGUAAGCGAGAUGUGAAAGCCCCGGGCUUAACCUGGGAACGGCAUUUCGAACUGCUCGGCUAGAGUGUGGUAGAGGGUAGUGGAAUUUCCUGUGUAGCGGUGAAAUGCGUAGAUAUAGGAAGGAACACCAGUGGCGAAGGCGGCUACCUGGACCAACACUGACACUGAGGUGCGAAAGCGUGGGGAGCAAACAGGAUUAGAUACCAUGGUAGUCCACGCCGUAAACGAUGUCAACUAGCCGUUGGGGAUCUUGAAUCCUUAGUGGCGCAGCUAACGCAUUAAGUUGUCCGCCUGGGGAGUACGGCCGCAAGGUUAAAACUCAAAUGAAUUGACGGGGGCCCGCACAAGCGGUGGAGCAUGUGGUUUAAUUCGACGCAGCGCGAAGAACCUUACCUGGCCUUGACAUGCAGAGAACUUUCCAUAGAUGGAUUGGUGCCUUCGGGAACUCUGACACAGGUGCUGCAUGGCCGUCGUCAGCUCGUGUCGUGAGAUGUUGGGUUAAGUCCCGUAACGAGCGCAACCCCUAUCCUUGGUUGCUAGCAGGUAAUGCUGAGAACUCCAGGGAGACUGCCGGUGACAAACCGGAGGAAGGUGGGGAUGACGUCAGGUCAUCAUGGCCCUUACGGCCAGGGCUACUCACGUGCUACAAUGGCGUAUACAGAGGGCUUCCAACUCGCGAGAGUGAGCCAAUCCCUUAAAGUGCGU
Molecule: ribosomal RNA, 1138 nt
Filed under: Marinobacter sp. SA003
Lineage: Bacteria; Pseudomonadati; Pseudomonadota; Gammaproteobacteria; Pseudomonadales; Marinobacteraceae
Description: bacterial SSU rRNA
Rfam family: Bacterial small subunit ribosomal RNA
Source: RNAcentral